Molecule: long non-coding RNA, 763 nt
Filed under: Scleropages formosus (Asian bonytongue)
Lineage: Eukaryota; Metazoa; Chordata; Actinopteri; Osteoglossiformes; Osteoglossidae
Description: lncRNA (ENSSFOG00015029957.1)
Source: RNAcentral
GCGUUACAAAAUAUGUACCUGUUGAUGUUUAUUGUCACUUUUCAUUGAUUAAGAAUAACCGAUUUUCCCCGAGUCUCUUUCAUUAACGAUGAUAAUAACAAGGAAAGCGCACAAUUCUUGGUCACAUGGAUUGAUGGAAUAUGAGGCAGUUCUUUUUGUAAACUAAACAUUAUUAUACACGCGGAAGUUUCUCGAAUUGUUCAAGGUCUGCAUGUUUGGUCUCCGGUACAGAAAUGUUGUUGGACACACCUUUCUCUAAGUUUUUCCUGCAUUGAUUUCUCUGUGCAAUAGAAGCGUUAGAAGCGCGAACGCGCGGCGAGCGCGGACACUUAGCGGCGCGAGCCCUGUCGCGCGGCGCCUCGCUCUCCGUCGGACACUGCGGAGGGGGGGUUCCGGGGUGUCCUCAGUGCCACUAAGGCUUUCCUCCAUUAGGGAACAAGGCCCGCCAUUGUGGCAGCGAGUGCGAUGCUGUCGGAGAUGGAACCCCCAGGAGCUGCUCAGGUGCAACCAGAGUCCGGAACAGAUUUCGGAUGAGGCCUCUCUACGUGGAGCUGUGCUGAGCUGGUGGCGGUGCCGUGUGCUCGUGGGCUGCGGGGUGGGGCCGUCAGGGCCGUGUACUCCGUACCUCAAACGGCGUAUUAAAAAUAAAUUAAAUCAUAAUAACAUUGACAGCACUUUAAUUAUAAGUAUUUGAACUGUAAUCAGCUGCUUCCCUCGCUAAGAUGCAAAUAAACAAAAUUACAGCUCUUUGUGUGGAGCGUAG